Molecule: long non-coding RNA, 264 nt
Organism: Colossoma macropomum (tambaqui)
Lineage: Eukaryota; Metazoa; Chordata; Actinopteri; Characiformes; Serrasalmidae
Exons: 3
Source: RefSeq, a predicted model, not a curated record
AGGUAAAACUCACCUGGUGAAGGAGCACGACGGCAAGGUUUAGGAGUAGGGGGAGGAGUUGGUGUCUGUUUAAACACUGUAAGAUAGACAGUACCAAAAUAUCUUCUCCUCCCGUCUCCUUCAGAAGCCCAAGUGAUAAUGAUGUGGGUCCUGCAGCUCUGCUGCAUUGCGUCUGUGGCACUUUAUGGACUCUAUUUCAAACUGGGUGUUUACUUAUCGCAUCACCAAAUCAAGAGUUAAGAGUUCUGGCUCCACAGAUUCUGG